AGUGGACAGAUAGGGAGAUGUGAUGUGACCCAAGAGGAGUCAUUCAAAUACACCUGAAAACUACAAGCCACCUUGGGAGGGCAAAGGCUUUCCAGGAAAAAUACCCAGGAAAAAGCGACCUGUUGAAGACAAUCGUCAGGUAAGCAGCCAUACCCUGGAACAAGAGUGUGGUCCUCAGUGGCUUUGCUGAGUGAACUUCUCCGAGUCAUCUCGCCUGGGAAAGAGAUUUCUCAAAGACCAUUUAAAGCUUUCCAGAGGGCAACAGCGAGACAGUUGUGAGCCAAGGUUACCAUAAAUGCUUCCACUCCGCCUGAUUUCAUUUCGGAAAUAAGGAAAGAAGCAGUCACCACUGCAGGCGUUGCUGACGCCUCAUCCAGCAGCCUCCCACCCCCAAUCCCUCCACAAUUAAGAGACAAUAAAAGUUAACGUUACUGUAG
Molecule: long non-coding RNA, 437 nt
Organism: Sapajus apella (tufted capuchin)
Lineage: Eukaryota; Metazoa; Chordata; Mammalia; Primates; Cebidae
Exons: 2
Source: RefSeq, a predicted model, not a curated record